RNAcentral lists this ribosomal RNA (253 nucleotides) under uncultured bacterium. Its description in RNAcentral is "partial 16S ribosomal RNA". It matches the Rfam family "Bacterial small subunit ribosomal RNA", at positions 524 to 776 of the family's 1533-position model. The record is from RNAcentral.
GACGUAGGGCGCGAGCGUUGUCCGGAUUUAUUGGGCGUAAAGAGCUCGUAGGCGGUUUGUCGCGUCUGCCGUGAAAGUCCGGGGCUCAACUCCGGAUCUGCGGUGGGUACGGGCAGACUAGAGUGAUGUAGGGGAGACUGGAAUUCCUGGUGUAGCGGUGAAAUGCGCAGAUAUCAGGAGGAACACCGAUGCCGAAGGCAGGUCUCUGGGCAUUAACUGACGCUGAGGAGCGAAAGCAUGGGGAGCGAACAGG